GACGAACGCUGGCGGCGUGCUUAACACAUGCAAGUCGAACGGAAAGGCCCCUUCGGGGGUACUCGAGUGGCGAACGGGUGAGUAACACGUGCGUAACCUGCCCUUGACUUCGGGAUAACUUCAGUAAACUGGGGCUAAUACCGGAUAGGAAUCCUUGCUGCAUGGUGGGGGUUGGAAAGCUUCGGCGGUUUUGGAUGGACUCGCGGCUUAUCAGCUUGUUGGUGGGGUAGUGGCUUACCAAGGCUUUGACGGGUAGCCGGCCUGCGAGGGCGACCGGCCACAAUGGGACUGGGGUACGGCCCAGACUCCUACGGGAGGCAGCAGGGGGGAAUAUUGCACAAUGGGCGGAAGCCUGAUGCAGCAACGCCGCGUGCGGGAAGAAGGGCUUCGGGUUGGAAACCGGGUUCAGCAGGGGCGAAGCUUGUGGUGACGGUACCGGCAGAAGAAGCACCGGCUAACUACGUG
This 465-nucleotide ribosomal RNA is filed under the name uncultured bacterium. RNAcentral's name for it is "partial 16S ribosomal RNA". It matches the Rfam family "Bacterial small subunit ribosomal RNA", at positions 28 to 507 of the family's 1533-position model. The record is from RNAcentral.